UGGGAAUAUACAUUUGUAUGUUGGUAGGAGAGCGUUGUGUAAGGGGUGAAGUCGUAGCGAAAGCGGCGGUGGACUUUACACAAGUGAGAAUGCCGGAAUGAGUAGCGAGAAUUAUGUGAGAAUCAUAAUGGCCGAAAGACUAAGGUUUUAGAAGGAAGGUUCGUCCGCUUCUAGUUAGCCGGGAGCUAAGGCGAGGCCGAGAGGCGUAGUCGAUGCACAUACGGUUGAGAUUCCGUAGCUACCUUGCAUUUAAGCGAAGGGACACAUUUGAAGGGCAUGACCCGGGCGUUGGUUGACCCGGGCGUAAGGGACCGAAAAUAAGUAGGGAAGCAUGCUUGGAUGGUGGCGAGAAAAGCUUCGUGUAUAUAAGCAGGGUACCCGUACUGCAAACCGACACAGGUAGUCAGGAAGAGGAUUCUAAGGCCAUCGGGAGAAGCGUUGUUAAGGAACUCGGCAAAUUGACCCCGUAACUUCGGAAUAAGGGGUGCUCACGCGAGUGAGCCGCAGUGAAUAGGUCCAGGCAACUGUCUAUCAAAAACACAGCUCUCUGCUAAAUCGUAAGAUGACGUAUAGGGGGUGACACCUGCCCGGUGCUGGAAGGUUAAGAGGAGGGGUGCAAGCUCCGAAUUGAAGCCCCAGUAAACGGCGGCCGUAACGAUAACGGUCCUAAGGUAGCGAAAUUCCUUGUCGGGUAAGUUCCGACCCGCACGAAUGGUGUAAUGAUCUGGACACUGUCUCAACAACGCACCCGGCGAAAUUGUAGUACCGGUGAAGAUGCCGGUUACCCGCGGCAAGACGGAAAGACCCCAUGGAGCUUCACUGUAGCCUGAUAUUGGGUCUCGGUAUUUUAUGUACAGGAUAGGCGGGAGACUUGGAAACCAGCACGCCAGUGUUGGCGGAGUCACCCUUGGGAUACCGCUCUUAAAGUAUUGAGAUUCUAACCUGCAGCCAUGAAUCUGGCUGGGGGACAUUGUCAGGUGGGCAGUUUGACUGGGGCGGUCGCCUCCAAAAGAGUAACGGAGGCGUUCAAAGGUUCACUCAGCAUGGACGGAAACCAUGCCUUAGAGUGCAAACGCAUAAGUGAGCCUAACUGCGAGACUGACGGGUCGAGCAGUAACGAAAGUUGGAGUUAGUGAUCCGGCGGUAUGUGAGUGGAGAUGCCGUCGCUCAACGGAUAAAAGCUACCCUGGGGAUAACAGGCUGAUCUCCCCCAAGAGUCCACAUCGACGGGGAGGUUUGGCACCUCGAUGUCGGCUCAUCACAUCCUGGGGCUGAAUUCGGUCCCAAGGGUUCGGCUGUUCGCCGAUUAAAGUGGUACGCGAGCUGGGUUCAGAACGUCGUGAGACAGUUCGGUCCCUAUCUGUCGUGGGCGUAGGAUAUUUGAAGGGCGCUGUUCCUAGUACGAGAGGACCGGAAUGGACGCACCGCUGGUGUAUCGGUUGUCAUGCCAAUGGCACGGCCGAACAGCUAUGUGCGGAUGGGAUAAACGCUGAAAGCAUCUAAGCGUGAAGCCCUCCCUAAGAUAAGAUAUCCCACUGUUUACAGUUAAGACCCCUUAUGGACUAUGAGGUUGAUAGGCUGCGUGUGUAAGUAUGGUGACAUAUUUAGCUAGGCAGUACUAAUAGGUCGAGGGCUUGACC
RNAcentral lists this ribosomal RNA (1640 nucleotides) under metagenome. RNAcentral's name for it is "bacterial LSU rRNA". It matches the Rfam family "Bacterial large subunit ribosomal RNA", at positions 1202 to 2925 of the family's 2925-position model. The record is from RNAcentral.